AAAUUGGAUACAAUUCAUGGCUGCACAAGAACUAGUAGUGCAGCUAUUUUAUUGAGAGAAUUUCUAAGGAUGAAUAGUGAUGCCCAAAUUUAAAGGAUUCAUAGGCUAGUAAACACUAAAACAUAAUUUGAAGAUGACAUAGGUUUGCAAACUUUUUCUUUUGUCAAAUAAGUAUAUUAAAACAACAAUUGACAAAAUGAACAAGAAUCAACAACCACCAUGUGCUAGUGACAUUGUUUAAACCUUUUAAUUGUACCAAGUAGGAAUAUUAAAACAACCAACACCUAAACAUACCAAAAACAAAAUCAACCUCUGUAACAACCAUGAACUAGUGAUAUUAUAUAUAAAAGUAAAGGAUAUUUCUAAAACCAAAAAAGUAGAAAGAACAACAUGCCAUAAUGAUACCAAUGGGUUAUGUGUUUUGAGUGUUAUGUGCUAGGCAUGUUCCAAAUGCUUUAUAUGCAUAAACUCUAUUAAUCCUCACGAAAAGACUAAAAGGUGGACACUAACACCUUAAUUUUAUAGGAGAAGAAAUUGGGCACUGAGAUGAGAAGCUGACGAGGAUCACCUGCUGAUAGAUGGUAAGGCUGGGAAUUGAAUCCACAAGACAGGCUCUGGAAUGUACGAUGUGGGAUCUUGAGCAUCAUAUGAUCGUGUAUCUCUAAUAAGAUGAUUCUUUCCAAAAAUAGAAAUCUCAGCAAACAUACUCAGAUGUUUCUGGGGGUGAAUUCAUGUGACUAUUUUUAUUUUAUUUUUUUCUUAUUUUGCUGCAGAUCUGUUAUAACAUCAUCACAGAGCAGUCUGGACUGGAAUUUAGGAAGCCCGAGACUGCAGCUGCAGGCUGCAGCUCAGCAAGGGAUCCGGAAUGGAAAUGUCCUGUGCUGUUUACGGGGGGAACCCUAAGACAGAUAAAGGAAAUGGCUCAUUUUUCUUUAAUAAGCCAUCUACGUUUCGUGGUAGGGCUUGAGCAACCUUCUAAAAGGCCUUCAUACUUGUCACCCUACUUUGUUCUCAGCCUCAGGGACAACAUGCUCAUGGAGAAGUCUGGUUCUCCUGCCUGGGAUUCUAUCAUUUCCUGCUUCCCUGACCUGACUGUGAUGCUUCCCUGUUCUACGGUGAUCUGGAGUGACAAGAGCAAGGAGUGAUUGCUUCUAAGCAGAGUAGGCUGUCUGAACCGUCAACCCUCUGGGGCAAAGAGCAAUCGUGUUUACCCACAAAGAGGAAAAAUGAAGACACUUGAAGCCUCAUCAGUAAAGAAAAUAAAGCUAACAGGGGAUUUAAUUACAAGCUCACUGACAACCAGUUAGCACUGUGUUUGGGUUCAUUUCUCUUUUGGCUAUUUUGUAGAAAAUAUUUCAAAUUAAGAAAAUAAAAUCCUAUGAUAAUUCCCCAUGCAGCAUAAAUUGUUCCAGAGCCCAGAAAAUUGUGGAUCAUUUCCCAAUUCAUAUCACCAAUCCAGAAUCACACUGAUACUAAAAUCAGAGAAACAGCCAAAAGGGGGCAGAGACAAAAAAAAGUGACAGUACCAUCCCAUUUAUAAUUACAGACUCAAAAUCCUCAAUUAAAACCUAACCAACUGUUCUUAGCACUAGAUUAAAAAACCACACUCUAUGGCCAAGGUGUUUCUAUUCCAGGAGUGCAAGGAUGAUUUAAUAUAAGGAAAGCUAUUAAUAUAACACAUCUCAAGUGUGUUAGAUUGAACCCAAGUCAAGGGGAUGCUAAUUAAUGCUAUAUGAGGGAGGGGGGACAGGUAAUAUUUGGAAAUGAAGGGUUUAACAAAGUUAAUGGAAUUCUUGACUACUGGACUUCUCAGAAUCUUUAAUAUGCUAAUGAGCAAAUUAAUUUCUAAGAAGAAACUAUACUAUGUAGCAUUUUCCCCAAAUUAUUUUAUCAGACAACAAUCUCCCCACCCCCAAUUUUUUUUCAUGGACCAGCUUGUGGAAAACAUGUUCUCUAAAAAACAUUCUAAUAGACCCUAUAUUAAAUUAAUUUAUGGUAUUAGCCAUUUAAACAAGAAGCAACUCAUCAUUUCUUUGACAGAUACCAAAAAGGAUUUGAUAAAAUGUAAUAUACAGUCCAAAUAAGAAUGUUUUAAUCUAUGACUAAAGGGAUAUUCCUUUAACACCUAAUAAAGAACACCUCUGUUAAACUAAAGGCUGGUAUCACAAGUAAUUGUAAAAAUAUUAGCGAUAUACGUUGUUAGAAUCAGGAACUAGAAAAAUGACUUUACUGUUAUCUUUUUUCAUUAAAGUCCUGGAAAUUUCAGUGAGUGUAAUUAAGACAUGAAAUGUUGAUGAUGAGAAGAAACAGAAAUAUUAUAGCUAGAUGAAAUAAUUGUUUAUAAGUAGUGGAAAAGAACUAAAAACUGUUUAAAUAAGGGAGUUUGAGAAAAUGGCUGUAUACAGAAACAUAUACACUUAAAAACAAAUCAUUUUCUCAAGUGUCAGGAUAACAGGCAUGAGCCACUGUGCUCCAAAAACUAAUAGUUUUCUCUUAUAACCAGAAACAACAGUUAGAAAGUACAAUGGAGCCAAAUAAUCCUACAUUCAUAAUAACAGCAAAAAUAGUUUUAAAAACCAAAGAAUCACCUUAAUAAAAAGUUGUGGGACUUUCAAGACUAGUUUUACUAAAUGGGAGGACUAAAGGCUGCAGACGUGUAAAUUUCCCCCAGAUAAUUAAUGUAUUUGAGUGCAAUUCUGAUCAAAAUUCCACUGGUGCAAAAAAAUCACAAAGGAAAACUACACUGACAAAGUGAGGGGAAAAUGUUGGUAACGUAAAUGGAAUUCAAAGGGUUGAUAUUUUUAAUAGAAAAAUUGCUCUUUUGAACUGAUUGUAAAAAGACAAACACUGAAGGAAAAAGAAGCAGGCCAGGUACACACACACACACACACACACACACACACACACACACAUAUUUCUAGCUCAGGGCUUUUGAUCUUCCCCUGACAACAGCUCCUUCUGAGAGGGUUCUCUCUUGACCACUCUACAUCAAAUAUCAAAUGCCCUCAUGCCUCACCAGGGCAUUCCCUAGUCUUCUCAUCCAACUUUACUUUUCUCCACAACAUUUAUCACCACUCAACAUAGCAGAGAUUUUUAAAUUUGUUGUCUUUCUCCUCCCAUUAGACUGCAAAUUUUGUGAGUAUUGUUUAUUUGGUUAAUCUCUGUUUUCCCAGGAUCUAGGGUAAUACUUGCCAUGUAAUAGAGGCUCAAUAAAUAUUUGUUGAUUAAAUGAAUAAAUAUCAUUUAGUCUCCUCUAUUUAUUUGAAGUAUUUUCUAAAUUCAUUGCACACUGACUAAUUUAUUUUAUGUGUGACUGUUGUUUACAUUCACAUCAGCAUGUUCAUGCCUUAGGUCGUGUAUUUAGAGAUACCUCAUUGGCUUGGGAAGCACUUGCUAUUUUGUAAUUAAAUUGUACUUCAUAUGAAGCAGGACACUAAAGCUUUGGGUAGAAAACCACAUUUUAGUUGGAGUCUGUCACAGACCUAUGAAAACUCUCAUUUGUGUGGACUGAUUGGCUCAUCUCAGUAGUUUAAGAGAAACUGUCACCUAGCAGCAGGCUGGCUGCCAAGGAUAGUAUAGCUGCCAAAGGUAAGAGCUGCAAAUGCUACAUUUGGUUGGGGCAAUCAUGGGCCAUAUAACAUACAGGACUGUUGAGUCAGACUCAGAGCUGCAGGUUAUGGCUGUGUAGCGUGUCUCCUACACACAGGUACGGGGCUAGGGGUGUGUAGAGGCUGGAAGUGUGUGGGGCCUGAAAUCCUCCUUGUAUAAGAGUUGCACCUUGGUUCUGUCUGUAUCAACCCAGAGGAAGAAAUACUAUGAUAUUGUGAUGUACUAAGAAAUAAACAUUUGAUCUUUGUUCCAAAUCACUGGCACAGAGGUCCUAAAAUUCUUGUAAUUUCCUGAGUCAUAGGGAUGAUAGGAACAUCUUUUGUUAUAGUUUUUGGCCUUAGUCCCUAGUUUCUGACACAGCGCUUCUAAGACCCUUGGAAUCUCCAGAGUAAUAUGAAUGCCUGGUGGGCGGGCUCCCUAGACAGCUUCAGGAUAGGGCUAGUUGCCAGGGAAACCAAUCAUAUGAUUAGAGGAUUGGAAUUUUCAGCCUCAUCCCCCAACGUAAGGGGAUAGGAGAGGAGCUCAAGAUUGAGCUCAACCAUCAAUGGCCAUUGAUUUAAUCAAAUUCUACCUACAGAAUGGAACCACCAUAAAACCCCUAAACAAUGGUGUUCCAAGAACUUCUGGGUUGGUGAACAUGUGAAAGUUCUGGAAGGGUGGUGGACCUGGAGAGGGCAUGCAGCUCCCCUUCUCACAUCCUUUGCCCUUUGGAUCUCUUCCAUUUGGCUGUUCCUGAGUUGUAUCCUUUAUAAUAAACCAGCAAUGGUAAAUAAACUGCUUUCCUAAAUGCUGUGAGCCAUUCUAGCAAAUCAUCCAACCCAAGGAGGAAGUGGUAAGCACCCCUGAUUUACUGCUGGUUGGUCAGAAAUUAUGAGAGGCCCAGGUCUGCAACUGGCAUUUGAAAUGUAGGGCAGUCUUGUGGGACUGAGGCCUUUACCUGUGUGGUCUACGCUAACUCUGGUUAGUUAGUGUCAGAACUGAAUUGAGUUGUAGUAGACCCAGCUGGUGUCGGAGAAUUGGUUGG
Non-coding RNA from Chlorocebus sabaeus (green monkey), 4633 nucleotides. The record is from RefSeq and is a predicted model, not a curated record. NCBI's taxonomy places the organism in Eukaryota, Metazoa, Chordata, Mammalia, Primates, Cercopithecidae.